CAGUCGCCGCGGUAAAACGUAGGUGGCAAGCGUUGUCCGGAAUUAUUGGGCGUAAAGGGCUCGCAGGCGGUUUCUUAAGUCUGACGUGAAAGCCCCCGGCUCAACCGGGGAGGGUCAUUGGAAACUGGGAAACUUGAGUGCAGAAAAGGAGAGUGGAAUUCCACGUGUAGCGGUGAAAUGCGUAGAGAUGUGGAGGAACACCAGUGGCGAAGGCGACUCUCUGGUCUGUAACUGACGCUGAGGAGCGAAAGCGUGGGGAGCGAACAGGAUUAGAUACCCCUGUAGUCCCUGUCUCUUAUAC
RNAcentral lists this ribosomal RNA (301 nucleotides) under uncultured bacterium. Its description in RNAcentral is "partial 16S ribosomal RNA". It matches the Rfam family "Bacterial small subunit ribosomal RNA", at positions 509 to 807 of the family's 1533-position model. The record is from RNAcentral.